GACGAACGCUGGCGGCGUGCUUAACACAUGCAAGUCGAACGGAAAGGCCCUGCUUUUGUGGGGUGCUCGAGUGGCGAACGGGUGAGUAACACGUGAGUAACCUGCCCUUGACUUUGGGAUAACUUCAGGAAACUGGGGCUAAUACCGGAUAGGAGCUCCUGCUGCAUGGUGGGGGUUGGAAAGUUUCGGCGGUUGGGGAUGGACUCGCGGCUUAUCAGCUUGUUGGUGGGGUAGUGGCUUACCAAGGCUUUGACGGGUAGCCGGCCUGAGAGGGUGACCGGCCACAUUGGGACUGAGAUACGGCCCAGACUCCUACGGGAGGCAGCAGUGGGGAAUAUUGCACAAUGGGCGGAAGCCUGAUGCAGCAACGCCGCGUGCGGGAUGACGGCCUUCGGGUUGUAAACCGCCUUCGCCUGUGACGAAGCGUGAGUGACGGUAAUGGGUAAAGAAGCACCGGCUAACUGCGUG
RNAcentral lists this ribosomal RNA (468 nucleotides) under uncultured bacterium. Its description in RNAcentral is "partial 16S ribosomal RNA". It matches the Rfam family "Bacterial small subunit ribosomal RNA", at positions 28 to 507 of the family's 1533-position model. The record is from RNAcentral.